UACGUAGGGGGCUAGCGUUGUCCGGAAUCAUUGGGCGUAAAGAGCGUGUAGGCGGCUCGGUAAGUCCGCUGUGAAAGUCCAGGGCUCAACCCUGGAAUGCCAGUGGAAACUGUCGAGCUAGAGUCCGGAAGAGGCGAGUGGAAUUCCUGGUGUAGCGGUGAAAUGCGCAGAUAUCAGGAAGAACACCCGUGGCUAAGGCGGCUCUCUAGUACGGUACUGACGCUGAGACGCGAAAGCGUGGGGAGCGAACAGG
Molecule: ribosomal RNA, 253 nt
Filed under: uncultured bacterium
Lineage: Bacteria
Description: partial 16S ribosomal RNA
Rfam family: Bacterial small subunit ribosomal RNA
Source: RNAcentral